CCCUUAGAUGUCCGGGGCUGCACGCGCGCUACACUGAAGGAAUCAGCGUGCUAAAACCAUUGUCGAAAGGCAUUGGUAAACCCAUUAAAAUCCUACGUGAUUGGGAUCGGGAAUUGCAAUUAUUUCCCUUGAACGAGGAAUUCCCAGUAAGUGUGGGUCAUAAGCUCGCGUUGAUUACGUCCCUGCCCUUUGUACACACCGCCCGUCGCUGCCCGGGACUGAGCCGUUUCGAGAGAAGCGGGGACUGCUGCUGUCGGGGCUUUCGGGCCUUGGCUUCGGUGGAAACCGCUUUAAUCGCAGUGGCUUGAACCGGGCAAAAGUCGUAACA
RNAcentral lists this ribosomal RNA (328 nucleotides) under uncultured eukaryote. Its description in RNAcentral is "partial 18S ribosomal RNA". It matches the Rfam family "Eukaryotic small subunit ribosomal RNA", at positions 1470 to 1796 of the family's 1831-position model. The record is from RNAcentral.